GUAAUAUUAGUAUAAGUUUUUUUUUAUUAUUUUUAAUUUUCGAUUAAAAGAUGUUAUA
RNAcentral lists this transfer RNA (58 nucleotides) under Cercopithifilaria johnstoni. Lineage: Eukaryota; Metazoa; Nematoda; Chromadorea; Rhabditida; Onchocercidae. The record is from RNAcentral.